CAUUGGUGACAUCAUAAAAUCAGGGAAAGGGAAAUCUGUAAACACUGGCCGUUGAAGAAUACGGUUUCUGAGAAUUUCCACUCUGAAUUCACAUUCCGUUCAGUGUUAUCGCCACCCUGUGGAUUUCUUGGCUACCUCGCUGGCUUUGAGCACAACCCAGGAAGAAGUUUGAAACCAAGAAAAUGGUGGUUGGGAAGACCAGGAUGCGCAAUGGCAAGUGCUGACAACUCUGGAAUACACAGUAGGCACCCAAUACAUACAAGGGAGUAAAUGAAUGAAUUAAAGCUGUCUGUAUCUGCUGAUCAUCCACAAUUUAGACGUCCUAUACUACAUUCCAAUUGAGGGCAAGCGGGGUACGUGUCCUGAAUUUAUAGAAUCUUUUGACACAAAGCAAGAGAGCCACAGUCAAGACUCAAGUCAAAAGAAAUUUAGACCCCAUCUGGGCAAACAGGCCUCUAAGCAACAAUCUAAGAUUUCCACCUAUUGUUCUGGCAUUCCUUGUAUAAAUGAUUAUGACUGCAGAGAUCUUAGGAAGUGCUGUGGUACCUUUAGAUGUGGCCUGAGGUGCAUACAUCCUCUUAUGAUUGGCCCUGUAUUUUUCAAUUCACCUCCACAAUCCAAGGCAUAAAUAUUGGAUGGAGAAAUGGAUUCAGAUGGAGGCAUCAUUGAGCUUAUUCUUGACUCAUCUCAGUCCAAACAUUACUCUGUCAAUCGUUGUUCUUAAAAUCUGCAUAUUAAAAGCUCAGCAUCAACUAUU
This 757-nucleotide long non-coding RNA is filed under the name Homo sapiens (human). RNAcentral describes it as "HSALNT0366753". The record is from RNAcentral. Lineage: Eukaryota; Metazoa; Chordata; Mammalia; Primates; Hominidae.